This 500-nucleotide ribosomal RNA is filed under the name uncultured bacterium. Its description in RNAcentral is "partial 16S ribosomal RNA". It matches the Rfam family "Bacterial small subunit ribosomal RNA", at positions 30 to 523 of the family's 1533-position model. The record is from RNAcentral.
AUUGAACGCUGGCGGAAUGCUUUACACAUGCAAGUCGAACGAUGAACCUUAGCUUGCUAAGGGGAUUAGUGGCGAACGGGUGAGUAAUGUAUCGGAACGUAUCCAAUAAUGGGGGAUAACUAGUCGAAAGAUUAGCUAAUACCGCAUACGUCCUACGGGAGAAAGCUAGGGACCUUCGGGCCUGGCGUUAAUGGAGCGGCCGAUAUCUGAUUAGCUAGUUGGUGGGGUAAAGGCUCACCAAGGCGACGAUCAGUAGCUGGUCUGAGAGGACGACCAGCCACACUGGAACUGAGACACGGUCCAGACUCCUACGGGAGACAGCAGUGGGGAAUUUUGGACAAUGGGCGAAAGCCUGAUCCAGCCAUUCCGCGUGAGUGAAGAAGGCCUUCGGGUUGUAAAGCUCUUUCGCAAGGGAAGAAAACUUAAGCUCUAACAUAGCUUGAGGUUGACGGUGCCUUGAUAAGAAGCACCGGCUAACUACGUGCCAGCCGCCGCGGUAA